Lynx canadensis (Canada lynx) is the source of this 991-nucleotide long non-coding RNA. RefSeq lists it as uncharacterized. The record is from RefSeq and is a predicted model, not a curated record. NCBI's taxonomy places the organism in Eukaryota, Metazoa, Chordata, Mammalia, Carnivora, Felidae. The transcript has 3 exons.
AACGCUUUGUUAUUAGACAUCAGUGUGCUGUUACCGACAGAGCGAAACUGCCUUUGCUUCUGGAGGGCCUCUCUGCUCCGGCUGGAGAAAACUGGAGAAGGAGGAACCACCGUGGACGUGGGCUGGGGAGGGGGCAGGGUGUCAGCGAUGGAAACGGCUCCUGCGGAGGAAGCAAGAUGAUGGCAGGCGAGCGGCCCAGGGAGGCAAGCCGAGGGAGAGCGGAGGCACCAGUUCCUGAGCAUUUCCUAGAAAACUACUCUUCGGUUUUCUGUCAAAACAGAGAGUAGCAGUGGAGGGACCAGCCCCAGAGGACCUCUUCGGCGAAAGAAACUCUGACUUUGGGAGUUGCCCCAUUGGGAGGACGGUCGCGCAACCCGUGGAGAGGCCCACACGGGUGGAUAGGAAGUGCUUCUGCCUCCUGCCAACAGCCUCUCGAGCAGGACUGGGAGCAGGUCCUCCACUGCCAGCUGAAUCUUGACGUGACUGCAGCAGCAGCCAACAGCUUGACCCGCCUUGAGCCCCAGGCGCUCAGGUCAGCCACACCUAGACUCCCAACCCACAAGAGCUCUGAGGACUGUGCUGUCUGCUCACUUUUGCCAGAUUACUGCUACAUCCAACUCCAGCUCCAAGUUCGUGAAUUCAAGCGAUAGCUCUGCUGAUAAAUUCUUCAGUGGGUUUCACGUACCGUCUUUCUUCCAGCCUCCACAUACGGUACUCGGUACUCGUGUUGGAUUGUCUUCUCUUAACAUUGUUUAACCAUCUGUUAACCCAGCCUCCUGCCCAAGGGGCUUCGUGGGGAGGAAUGAUUUGAAGUUUCUGCUGAAGUGCUUUACAGUUGGGGAUAGUCCAUUAAUUGUUGAUUUUGUUUGUAUUCAGCAUUCUGCUUCUAUCUGUGGUUUUAAUUGAUGUGAACGUGCCCAGAGGCUUGUGCUGGACCCAGCUGUAUAAAUCAAAUAAAGAAAUAAAGAAAUAAAGAAAAAAAUGAAGUAAA